This 253-nucleotide ribosomal RNA is filed under the name uncultured bacterium. RNAcentral describes it as "partial 16S ribosomal RNA". It matches the Rfam family "Bacterial small subunit ribosomal RNA", at positions 524 to 776 of the family's 1533-position model. The record is from RNAcentral.
UACGGAGGGUGCAAGCGUUAUCCGGAAUUACUGGGUUUAAAGGGUGCGUAGGCGGAAAUAUAAGUCAGAGGUGAAAUCACACAGCUUAACUGGGUAAUUGCCUUUGAUACUGUAAUUCUUGAAUCAGAUUGAGGUUAGCGGAAUGAGUCAUGUAGCGGUGAAAUGCAUAGAUAUGACUUAGAACACCAAUUGCGAAGGCAGCUAGCUAGGUCUGUAUUGACGCUGAGGCACGAAAGCGUGGGGAGCGAACAGG